This 867-nucleotide ribosomal RNA is filed under the name Afrorhytida kraussi. Its description in RNAcentral is "partial 16S ribosomal RNA". Lineage: Eukaryota; Metazoa; Mollusca; Gastropoda; Stylommatophora; Rhytididae. The record is from RNAcentral.
GAACGUAGAAGAUCUAAUCGUUAUAAUAUAUUAGUAUUUAUUAAAAAUAAUGUUACAUACAUUAUAUUUGUUAAUGUCGAUUAGGGGUGAAAUGCUUCCAAUUCUUACAUAUCUGGAUUUAUAUUAAAUAUAUUAAGUAUAGGGUUAGUUUCUCAAAUUUGAAAUGUUAAGAUUUCAAAUAGCAAUUAAAAUUUUAUAUAAAUAAAAUAUAUAAGUGCUAAUCCUCUUAUAGAUAAAAAUAUUAUAAUUAAUAUAUAAUUAUUUAAUAGGCGUAAUAUAAUGAUUUUUAUAAUAUAAUAAAAGAUUAAUAAUGUUUAGAUUAGUAAUUUUUAAUAAUUUAUUUAAAGGAACUCGGCAAAUUACUUUUUCGUCUGUUUAACAAAAACAUAGCUUAACGAGAUAUUAUGUUAAGUGAUUUCUGCCCAGUGAAAUAUUUUAACGGCCGCAGUACCUUGACUGUGCUAAGGUAGCAUAAUAAAUUGGCUUUUAAUUGGAGUCUAGAAUCAACGGAAUGUCGGAAAAUAACUGUCUCAUUUUAAUUAAUUUAAAGUUAAUAAUAAGGUGAAAAUACCUUAAAUAAAUUAUAUAGACAAGAAGACCCUAAGAAUUUUUAUAAUAUAAGUUAAUAAUAGCUUAAUAAUUUUUGUUGGGGCGACAGGGUUACAUAUAACUAAUCUUGUAAAUAAUAUACUAGUCAGUUUUUAAAUAGUUAGAUAAAAUUACCUUAGGGAUAACAGCAUAAUAUAGUUUUGUUUGUGACCUCGAUGUUGGAUUAGGAAAAUUAAUAGCUAACAGUUAUUAAAUUUAGUUCUGUUCGAACUGUUUUACCUACAUGAUCUGAGUUCAGACCGGCGUAAGCCAGGUCAG